AACGCACAUUGCGCCCGCCAGUAUUCUGGCGGGCAUGCCUGUCCGAGCGUCAUUUCAACCCUCGGGCCCCCCUCUGCGGGCGGCCCGGCGUUGGGGCUCAGGCGCCGUCUCUGCUCGGCGCCUGUCCCCUAAAUGCAGUGGCGGCCUCGCCGCUGCCUCCUCCGCGUAGUAGCACAAACCUCGCGGCUGGAAGGCGGCGCGGCCACGCCGUAAAACCCCCCAACUUUACCAAGGUUGACCUCGGAUCAGGUAGGAAUACCCGCUGAACUUAA
This 272-nucleotide unclassified non-coding RNA is filed under the name Trichothecium sp. RNAcentral's name for it is "partial contains 5.8S ribosomal RNA, internal transcribed spacer 2, and large subunit ribosomal RNA". The stretch from base 1 to 52 matches the Rfam family "5.8S ribosomal RNA", at positions 103 to 154 of the family's 154-position model. The record is from RNAcentral. RNAcentral also lists the same sequence under 3 other names. Lineage: Eukaryota; Fungi; Ascomycota; Sordariomycetes; Hypocreales.